GUGGGGAAUAUUGGACAAUGGGCGAAAGCCUGAUCCAGCCAUGCCGCGUGUGUGAAGAAGGUCUUCGGAUUGUAAAGCACUUUAAGCGAGGAGGAGGCUACCGAGAUUAAUACUCUUGGAUAGUGGACGUUACUCGCAGAAUAAGCACCGGCUAACUCUGUGCCAGCAGCCGCGGUAAUACAGAGGGUGCAAGCGUUAAUCGGAUUUACUGGGCGUAAAGCGCGCGUAGGUGGCCAAUUAAGUCAAAUGUGAAAUCCCCGAGCUUAACGUGGGAGUUGCAUUCGAUACUGGUUGGCUAGAGUAUGGGAGAGGAUGGUAGAAUUCCAGGUGUAGCGGUGAAAUGCGUAGAGAUCUGGAGGAAUACCGAUGGCGAAGGCAGCCAUCUGGCCUAAUACUGACACUGAGGUGCGAAAGCAUGGGGAGCAAACAGGAUUAGAAACCCUGGUAGUCC
Molecule: ribosomal RNA, 451 nt
Filed under: uncultured bacterium
Lineage: Bacteria
Description: partial 16S ribosomal RNA
Rfam family: Bacterial small subunit ribosomal RNA
Source: RNAcentral